RNAcentral lists this ribosomal RNA (419 nucleotides) under bacterium. Its description in RNAcentral is "partial 16S ribosomal RNA". It matches the Rfam family "Bacterial small subunit ribosomal RNA", at positions 355 to 776 of the family's 1533-position model. The record is from RNAcentral.
UGGGGGAUAUUGCACAAUGGGCGAAAGCCUGAUGCAGCGACGCCGCGUGGGGGAUGAAGGCCUUCGGGUUGUAAACUUCUUUUGCUCUGAACAAGGCAUGCUAAUGGGUGUGUUGAGUGUAGGGGUUGAUUAGCGCCGGCUAACUACGUGCCAGCAGCCGCGGUAAUACGUAGGGCGCGAGCGUUGUCCGGAAUUAUUGGGCGUAAAGGGCUUGUAGGUGGCUGGUUGCGUCUGUCGUGAAAGCUCCUGGCUUAACUGUGGGUUUGCGGUGGGUACGGGCUGGCUUGAGUGCAGUAGGGGAGGCUGGAAUUCCUGGUGUAGCGGUGGAAUGCGCAGAUAUCAGGAGGAAUACCGGUGGCGAAGGCGGGUCUCUGGGCUGUUACUGACACUGAGGAGCGAAAGCAUGGGGAGCGAACAGG